CAAUCAGUAGGAGCACGGAGAAGAAGAAAAGUAAGUGCGUUAACUGUUAGAUGCUUUAGCGGUGCAGUGGUUGUAGUUGUCUUGUUUUUGCCAAGAAGAGAAAUAAAGUUCGACAAGUUCUUCAUCUGCCUCCUCGUUGUUUGGCCGCCAGCAGAGCAGAGCUUGUUACCAGCAAACGAGCCGAAAUAGAGACCAGCCUGUUCUGGACCUACCAAGAUCAGACUCCAUAUUAAGAUGGAGGAUGGGAAUAACUUGUCUUCUUGUUAAUACAGACUUACUGAGGUCCAGAAGAUGGAAGACCUGGACUGGGACUGGGACUGGGACUGGGACUGGGACAGAGCAGAACCUUCAGGAUCCGUCUGUCCCUCUAUGAGGAGUGACCGGUCCAGAGAUAAACCUCCAUACUUCAAUAAUGAACCUGGACCCUCAGACAGGAAAGAUCAGAACCUCAGACUGAGAGCAGAACCUCCAGGAUCCGUCUGUCCUUCUAUGAGGAGUGACCGGUCCAGAAAAGAUCCUCUAAACUUCAAUACUGAACCAGAACCAUCAGACCCAGAAGGGAGGAAGAGGAGCAGCGUUGGUGAGGAGGAGCAGCCGUCCUGCUGUGCUUUAUGUCAGAAGGUUCUGAUGGAUCCAGUCUCUACCAGCUGUGGUCACUGGUUCUGCAGACAGUGCAUCAGGUUCUACUGGGACCAGUCUGGACCCUCCUCCUGCCCCCAGUGUGGAGAAAGACCCAGAACAGGAGCUGGACUGCUGACAGCCAAUCAGAGCAGCUGUGCUCCAGCAGAUGUUGUUCUGCAGCAGGUUCUAAUGGAACAUAAGAUCAGUCUGAUGAGGAGAUGUGAAUGUGUGACUGAAGGAAGUGAUGUAACAGGAAGUAAAACCCUCCUCAACAUGAUCUACACUGAUCUCUACAUCACAGAGGGACAGAGUGAAGAGGUUAAUACCCAACAUGAGGUGAAGCAGCUGGAGACAGAUUCCAAGAUCCAGAAGCUCCAUGACUCUCCUAUCAGGUGCCAUGACAUUUUUAAAACCUUCCCUGAUCAACAUGGAGCCAUCAGAGUGGUUCUGACUAACGGUGUCGCUGGUGUUGGAAAAACCUUCUCAGUUCAGAAGUUCACUCUGGACUGGGCAGAGGGCUUGGAGAACCAAGAUGUCAGUGUGGUGGUUCUGCUUUCGUUCAGGGAGCUGAACUUGAUCAGAGAUGAGCAGCACAGUCUUCUCACGCUGCUCCAUGUUUUCCAUCCAACCCUCCAGAAGCUCCCAGCAGAGCAACUGGCUGUCUGCAAACUUCUCUUCAUCUUUGAUGGCCUGGAUGAAAGCAGACUUUCACUGGACUUCAACAACAGUCAGCUGGUUUCUGAUGUCACACAGAAGUCAUCAGUCAACGUUCUCCUGACAAACCUCAUCAAGGGGAACCUGCUUCCCUCGGCUCUCAUCUGGAUAACAUCCCGACCUGCAGCGGCCAGUCAGAUCCCUCCUUCAUGUGUUUCCAGGGUAACAGAAGUACGAGGCUUCACUGACGCCCAGAAGGAGGAGUACUUCAAGAGGAGGCUCAGAGAUGAAGAGCUGUCCAGCAGAAUCAUCUCCCAUAUUAAGACCUCCAGGAGCCUCCACAUCAUGUGUGGAAUCCCAGUCUUUUGCUGGAUCACUGCUACAGUUCUGGAGAACAUGUUGACCUCAGAGCAGAGAGGAGAGAUGCCCAAGACCAUGACUGACAUGUACUCACACUUCCUGCUGGUCCAGACAAAGAGGAAGAAGAACAAGUACUAUGGAGGACAUGACACAAGUCCACAGGAGCUGAUGGAGGCUGACAGGGAAGUUUUUCUGAAGCUGGGGAGGCUGGCGUUUGAACAUCUGGAGAAAGGAAACAUCAUGUUGUACCAAGAAGACCUGGAGCAGUGUGGUCUGGAUGUCACAGAGGCCUCAGUGUACUCAGGAGUUUGUACAGAGAUCUUCAAAAGAGAGAGUGUGAUCUUCCAGAAAUCAGUCUACUGCUUUGUUCAUCUGAGCAUUCAGGAGUUUCUGGCUGCAAUCUACAUGUUCCACUGUUUUACCACAAGGAAUACAGAGGUAAUGAAGAAGUUCCUGGAAGAAAAAUACAGUGAAACAUCUCUGGAGGAUUUCAUAAAAAAAGUCCUAGAGAAAUCCUUCUUCAGUAAAAAUGGCCACCUGGACCUGUUUGUUCGUUUCCUUCAUGGCCUCACUCUGGAGUCCAACCAGAGACUGUUAGGAGGCCUUCUGGGUCAGACAGAGAACAGUCCAGGAACCAUCCAGAAAAUCAUCAGCAAUCUGAAGAAGAUGAGCACUGAUAGAAUCUCUCCUGACAGAAUCAUCAACAUCUUCCACUGCCUGGUGGAGAUGAACGACCUCUCAGUUUUUCAGGAGAUCCAACAGUUCCUGAAAUCAGGGAAGAAGCUCUCAGAGAUCCAGUGUUCAGCUCUGGCCUACAUGCUACAGAUGUCAGAGGUUCUGGAUGAGUUGGACCUGGAGAAGUACAACACAUCAGAAUCAGGACGACAGAGACUGGUUCCAGCUGUGAGGAACUGCAGAAAGGCUCGACUUGGUGGCUGUCGUCUCUCAAAGACUGAAUGUGAAGUUGUGGCUUCAGCUCUAAAGUCCAACCAACAUCUGACUGAACUGGAAAUAAAUCAGAUAUUCAUACAGGGAACCAGUACAAAAUCUUUACUGAAUCAUGUGUGUGAGAUCCUGGAGAGUUCAGUCAGCAAAGUGAAGAGUCUGAGAUUGAGGGGCUGCAGGUUAUCAGAGACCAGCUGUUCUUCUCUGGUCUCAGCUCUGAUGUCCAACCCCUCCCAUCUGACUGAACUGGACUUGAGUGACAACAGACUCCUGAAAGAUUCUGGAGUGAAGGAGCUCUGUGGUUUUCUACAGAAUCCUGAAUGCAGAGUACAACGAUUAGAAUUGAUCCACUGCAGUUUGUCAGAGAUCAGCUGUUCUUCUCUGGUCUCAGCUCUGAAGUCCAACCCCUCCCAUCUGACUGAACUGGACCUGAGCUGGAACGAAGACCUGAAAGAUUCUGGAGUGAAGGAGCUCUGUGGUUUUCUACAGAAUCCUGAAUGCAGAAUACAACGAUUAAUAUUGGAGUACUGCAGUUUGUCAGAGAUCAGCUGUUCUUCUCUGGUCUCAGCUCUGAAAUCCAAUCCCGCCCAUCUGACUGAGCUGGACCUCCACAACAACAAUCUUAAAGAUUCUGGAGUGAAGGAGCUCUGUGGUUUUCUACAGAAUCCUGAAUGCAGAAUACAACGAUUAAUAUUGAUCCACUGCAGUUUGUCAGAGGUCAGCUGUUCUUCUCUGGUCUCAGCUCUGAAGUCCAACCCCUCCCAUCUGACUGGAUUGGACCUGAGCUUCAAUGCCAUGAAAGAUUCUGGAGUGAAGGAGCUCUGUGGUUUUCUACAGAAUCCUGAAUGCAGAAUACAACGAUUAAUAUUGGAGAACUGCAGUUUAUCAGAGAUCAGCUGUUCUUCUCUGGUCUCAGCUCUGAAGUCCAACCAACAUCUGACUGAACUGGACCUGAGCAACAACAAUAUGAAAGAUUCUGGAGUGAAGAAGCUCUGUGGUUUUCUACAGAAUCCUGAAUGGAGAAUACAACGAUUAUCAUUGAGGUUCUGCACGAUGUCAGAGGUCAGCUGUUCUUCUCUGGUCUCAGCUCUGAAGUCCAACCCCUCCCAUCUGACUGAACUGGACUUGAGAGGAAACGACCUGAAAGAUUCUGGAGUGAAGGAGCUCUGUGGUUUUCUACAGAAUCCUGAAUGCAGAAUACAACGAUUAAUGUUGAGGAGCUGCAGUUUGUCAGAGAUCAGCUGUUCUUCUCUGGUCUCAGCUCUGAAGUCCAACCAACAUCUGACUGAACUGGACCUGAGAGGAAACAGAGACCUGAAAGAUUCAGAUGUUCAGCAGCUGAAGCUUUUUGUAAAGGAUGUUCAGUAAGUAAAUGUUUGCAGUGAUUCCAGCUGCUGUCAGCAUAUUGAACUAAACCAGUUCCCAUCAAAGCAAAGAUCCAGUGUUCCCAGUAAAGCUCUCUGAACAGGACUGAAGGCCCUGCUGCUCUUUCUCCUGGAUGUGCUGCGUCACUGACUGCUGCUGGAGAGAAGCUGGAAACUCACUGAUCUGAUCUCUGCAUCUUUCUUCUCUCUGCAGGUUUUGAUGAUUAACUUUAUAAAGAAGAGAAUCGUCUCUGUUUCCUGCUGAUCCUCAGAGGUUGAAGCUGCAGCAGUUUGAGUCUAAAGAGACUCUGACUGGAUCAUGAUGACCUUUGACCUGAAUGAUUUCUUCCUGUUUAUUUCCUCCUGUCUGUCAUUUUGUAUCUGAUAUUGUUUUUCUCUUUGGAUCGAUGAAGAUGAAAUUGUAACUCGGCUCCAUUUAGAGGCUUCAUGGAGUUUUGAUCUGAACUUGAUUCAGUUUUUAAAGUUUUUAAUUUUUCUCUGAUUCAUUUUCAUCCUGGAAGCAGAAAUAUGAAACAUAUUUCAGUUCAGCCGUUUCCAGGCUGCAUGUUUGCUUCAUUUGAAUUCAGUUUGAAAGGCCUUUAAUAGACCACUGCAGUUUUUAGGGUAUUAAAGAAACUCGGGUAUUUUAAUCAAGUCGAUUAGUUAUAACAUACUUUACUGAUGAAUUUUAAUAUAACUGAUAAUAACAUGUACAAUGUGAAUUAACUUUAAAUACAAUAUUUAAAAGAAAUACUUAUUUACAUUAUUAAUAUACAUUUUGUCUCUUCCCAGGUGGCUGCAAAUAAGAUACAUUUUUAAGCUCCUUUAUAAUUUAUCUUCUGUCUUUUGAUUGUCAUUAAGCUGCUUUUAUGCUGACAGUUAAAUGAUAAAUUGUCCCUUCAAAACAAAAGCAUCAGAACUCAAACAGGAAGUUAACUAUAAUUGAAACUAAUUAAGGAUCUUCUAAGAUAUUAGUAUAAAUAAUGUGCAUGUUGUUAACAUUUUGUCCACAUACUUCCCAGACACUACAAAUGUUAUUAUAUUAAUUCUUGAUCUGAUGUUCAUGUUUGUUAUGUUUACAUAAAAAGUUGUGGAUCAGAAAAUAGUAACAUGAAUUAAUCUGCUGUCAGAUUCACUAGUAUAUUAACUUCCACUGUUUAUAAGUGUAAAGUUGUUUAUUUGAACAAAGGACAAUGAUAAUUAUGGGUUUUUUAUUAUUAAUGGUUUAGAAAUGUAUGUUUGGGUAAUUACACAUUUAAUCGAGCCGCUAUCGUUUUAUCGUUUUUUUAUUGUGUAUGAUAAAAAUUCAAAUCCUCAUAAUCCUCCAUCAACAGAUGUUUGUUUAGAGUGAAAUAAACUCAAUUUAUCUACAGUAGCAUCAGUGAAUCUGUGAUCGAUUUUAUUGAUCUGCUGAAGAAAUCUGUUGAUGCACAUUCACCUAAAUUAUGUAAACCUGUAUAGACACAGCAGCACUUCCUGGUCUUUGUGAAACGGAUAAAGCCAGGAUGAACUGAUGGAGCUUUUCAAACCUGUUUUUAUCAAUGAUCCUGGGUUUCAUAAUCCUACUUUGGUGAAACAGAAACCAGGUUAGUUUAAGUUACUAACUAAAUGACAUGUUACUGUUGUGCUGCAAACGUAGCUUCACUUAUAAUAUAAUAUUAACACAAAGUUCAUGUGAUUCAGCUGAGAGAAAAAGAGAAAGAAUCAGAACAGAGGAAGAAAACAGGUUGAUUUAUUAUUAAGAGGAAAUGUCCCAACAGUUUAUGAUUGGAUCAUUUUUUGUUUUUAAUUGAGCUGAUUACUUACUAUAAUACCUACCAUUAACUAAAAGUCUUUAAUUGAAGUCUUGCUUUUUAUAAAUCCAUAACUUGGUCAUUAGUAAAACAAAAAGUCUAACUGGGAAAAAACAAGGAAAUUGAUUAAUUGUAAAUCAAUACCAAUAUUUUUAGUUGUGGUUUGAUACAUCAUUUGUUUUUACAAUAAACAUAUUAAUUCAACUCA
Molecule: RNA transcript, 5945 nt
Organism: Xiphophorus couchianus (Monterrey platyfish)
Lineage: Eukaryota; Metazoa; Chordata; Actinopteri; Cyprinodontiformes; Poeciliidae
Gene name: NACHT, LRR and PYD domains-containing protein 3-like
Exons: 15
Source: RefSeq, a predicted model, not a curated record